ACAUUUCUAACAGGUUCCCAAAUGCAAGUUGAUGCUGCUGGUCUAGGAACACACCUUGUGAACCAGUAAAGUGAUAAACCUGCACUUGAGAAGGUUCAAAUUUCAUUUCACCCACCCUUUAUUGUGGCCCAAAUGGGACAGGAUGAGAGGAGAUGCUGGGCUUUGGUUAAAGAGCAGAGAUGGAGAAAAAGAUGGAGAGUGCAAGGCAGUUCCUUGGAAAUAGAGUGGAUACUGAGGGAACAUGAUGACACAGAAGAGGGAUGGCCUGAGGGACACAGCCGCGGCCAUGACUGUGGGUCUGUGAUUUUGAGUUGUGUAAAGAGAUCAAUGGUGAGUCUGACAGAUGGGAAUACGGGGAUUACAACCAGCCCCACGGUUCUGUUUAGAGUCCUGGAUGAAAGCCUAGAGUCUCCCUUCUAGAGCGCCUCAUCCCUCAGCCCUCUCCUUAGCCCCUCUCUUCUAACCUUCUAGGAUUAUUGCCAGACUCUGGGCCCCAGGCUUUCCCAAGCAGAACAGAGGCAGCUGCCUCAUAUCCUGGGUCAUCUCUCACUGGGGUUGCUCUGUGGACAAGAAGACCUGGUACUUUUUUCAUUUUCUUUCCAAGACUCCAGAUCAGGCACUUUGAGAAUGCUGUGAGGAGGCUCCUGACCUCAAUGCCAAACACCCUCUUGAGACUGAGCCGCCCUGCCAGGGGGGAGGUGCAGAACUUGAAUCUUAUUUUCUCUCAGCGGAGCGAGUCCAUAAAGAAAAUCCAAUUCAUCGAUGUCCAAGAGAACAUUACCAAGAUAGACGAGACACCAUGGGCAGUAUUUAAUUAUGAGCAGGCACAGCAAAUAGGAGGGACGCAAUAAAAAUGCUAAUCAGGGAGGAAAAAAAACAGACUUCGUUUUCGGCUAAGCUCAUCUCUUCCCCCUCCAUUUCCAGCCCCCAAAUGAGUGCCGCAGACCAGGUUCUGAAUGUGACUCUGUGACAGCUCACAGGUGUGGGCCACCUGCAGUCAGCUGGUCUCAGCCAGACUUGGCUGGACAGUUGGAAUCCAGCUCUGUACCAUGUAUGUCUCAUCCUCCCUCUGGGACCAAUGGGGAUGUCAAAAGCACCUGAAGAUGAGCAGAAUACAAAGCCUCUUAAAACCUAGGCUCAGAACUGUCACACUGUCACAUGGCCAGUGACAAAGCUAAGAAGAGGGAAAGCGACCACUCAUUUAUGGGAAGAACUGCAGAGUCACAGGGCAAGGGUCAUGAAUAGAGGGGGUGAAGAAAUUGGCCUAAUGACAAGUCUGCAGAACCCAGAAAGACGUCAGAAUUGUGCUUUCUCCCUUGAAGCUCUUGCAGAGGACUCCCCGUUCAUACCCCUUCUGCUUGGAAUGGAUGAGAUGAUGGUGGAUCUUCUGAAGAAGGACCCGGCCAACCCAGAGUAACUUGGCCUGAUGACUCCCUCUCCAUCUUUCCUGUGCUGGUUCAAAUGUGGGCACAGACAGGAUAGAAAGACAAAGAGUUUGCAGUAAGCCAAAUGAUUACUUCAGUCUCAUAGUGGUUAGGUCCUGAUGAGUUGUAGUUUUCAUGUCUGAAAUUUCCCCAGGAAAAUAAAGUGGCCAAAGGUAUAUACGACAAGGAGCGAAAAACAAACAUUGCUCCAAUUCGGGUCACGUGACCCAUGUUACUGCUGAACGGGAAGCGUGAACCAGCGGGUUGAGUAAUGCUGUGCCCAGCUUCAACGGCAGACCAUCAUGUGGAGCCGAGAUCUUGUAAAUGAUCUGAACAGAGAUUUCACAGAAGCUCAGUAAAAGAACUUGGCCUUGCUACAACCCUGGACUCUUCAAGCCAACAGAGGUCCAAAACACACUGUUGAGUUUCCAUCCGUGCAGAAUGGCUGCGAAUGGGGCUGUGGCGACAGCAACUCACAGUUUUCCAGAACUCCAUGCAUGAAACUCCUUUCCCAGCCCUGCAGCCUUCCCCAUCCCCCAAUUAAAUAAGCGUUUGUUGUUUUA
This is a non-coding RNA of Macaca mulatta (Rhesus monkey), 1987 nucleotides long. Lineage: Eukaryota; Metazoa; Chordata; Mammalia; Primates; Cercopithecidae. The record is from RefSeq and is a predicted model, not a curated record.